Molecule: ribosomal RNA, 493 nt
Filed under: uncultured bacterium
Lineage: Bacteria
Description: partial 16S ribosomal RNA
Rfam family: Bacterial small subunit ribosomal RNA
Source: RNAcentral
AGUGAACGCUGGCGGUAGGCCUAACACAUGCAAGUCGAACGGCAGCACAGUAAGAGCUUGCUCUUACGGGUGGCGAGUGGCGGACGGGUGAGGAAUACAUCGGAAUCUACUUUUUCGUGGGGGAUAACGUAGGGAAACUUACGCUAAUACCGCAUACGACCUACGGGUGAAAGCAGUGGAUCUUCGGACCUUGCGCGAUUGAAUGAGCCGAUGUCGGAUUAGCUAGUUGGCGGGGUAAAGGCCCACCAAGGCGACGAUCCGUAGCUUGUCUGAGAGGAUGGUCAGCCACACUGGAACUGAGACACGGUCCAGACUCCUAAGGGAGGCAGCAGUGGGGAAUAUUGGACAAUGGGCGCAAGCCUGAUCCAGCCAUACCGCGGGGGUGAAGAAGGCCUUCGGGUUGUAAAGACCUUUUGUUGGGAAAGAAAAGCAGCAGGUUAAUACCCCGCUGUUCUGACGGUACCCAAAGAAUAAGCACCGGCUAACUUCGUGC